GCGGGUGUAGCUUAAUUGUAAAGCUUUGGCCUUCCAAGCCAAUGACGUGGGUCCGAUUCCCAUCACCCGCUCCA
This 74-nucleotide transfer RNA is filed under the name Holosporaceae bacterium. RNAcentral's name for it is "tRNA-Gly". It matches the Rfam family "tRNA". Rfam says of the family: Transfer RNA (tRNA) molecules are approximately 80 nucleotides in length. The record is from RNAcentral. Lineage: Bacteria; Pseudomonadati; Pseudomonadota; Alphaproteobacteria; Holosporales; Holosporaceae.